RNAcentral lists this transfer RNA (64 nucleotides) under Mastigoproctus giganteus (giant whipscorpion). RNAcentral's name for it is "tRNA-Trp". Lineage: Eukaryota; Metazoa; Arthropoda; Arachnida; Uropygi; Thelyphonidae. The record is from RNAcentral.
AGGAUUUUAAGUUAAUAAAACUUCUAGCCUUCAAAGCUAAAAAUAUUCUUUUAAAUCAAUAUUU